This 467-nucleotide ribosomal RNA is filed under the name uncultured bacterium. RNAcentral describes it as "partial 16S ribosomal RNA". It matches the Rfam family "Bacterial small subunit ribosomal RNA", at positions 28 to 507 of the family's 1533-position model. The record is from RNAcentral.
GACGAACGCUGGCGGCGUGCUUAACACAUGCAAGUCGAACGGAAAGGCCUCUUUCGGGGGGUACUCGAGUUGCGAACGGGUGAGUAACACGUGAGUAACCUGCCCUUGACUUUGGGAUAACUUCAGGAAACUGGGGCUAAUACCGGAUAGGAGCUCCUGCUGCAUGGUGGGGGUUGGAAAGUUUCGGCGGUUGGGGAUGGACUCGCGGCUUAUCCGCUUGUUGGUGGGGUAGUGGCUUACCAAGGCUUUGACGGGUAGCCGGCCUGAGAGGGUGACCGGCCACAUUGGGACUGAGAUACGGCCCAGACUCCGACGGGAGGCAGCAGUGGGGAAUAUUGAACGAUGGGUGGAAGCCGGAUGCAGCAACGCCGGGGGCGGGAUGACGGCCUUCGGGUUGAAAACCGCUUUCGCUCAUGACGAAGCUUUGUGUGACGGUAGUGGGUAAAGAAGCACCGGCUAACUACGUG